This 371-nucleotide ribosomal RNA is filed under the name uncultured bacterium. RNAcentral describes it as "bacterial SSU rRNA". It matches the Rfam family "Bacterial small subunit ribosomal RNA", at positions 1021 to 1392 of the family's 1533-position model. The record is from RNAcentral.
GGUGGACGCUAAGACAGGUGGUGCAUGGCUGUCGUCAGCUCGUGUCGUGAGAUGUUGGGUUAACGUCCCGCAACGAGCGCAACCCUUGUUAUUAGUUGCCAGCAUUAAGUUGGGCACUCUAAUGAGACUGCCGGUGACAAACCGGAGGAAGGUGGGGAUGACGUCAAGUCAUCAUGCCCCUUAUGACCUGGGCUACACACGUGCUACAAUGGGCAGUACAACGAGAAGCAAGCCUGCGAAGGCAAGCGAAUCUCUGAAAGCUGUUCUCAGUUCGGACUGCAGUCUGCAACUCGACUGCACGAAGCUGGAAUCGCUAGUAAUCGCGGAUCAGCACGCCGCGGUGAAUACGUUCCCGGGUCUUGUACACACCG